UAACAAGGAUUCCCCUAGUAACGGCGAGUGAAGAGGGAAAAGCCCAAGAUUGAAAGCUGGCGCCUUCGGCGUCCGCAUUGUAAUCUCAAGAAGUGUUUUCCGCUUCGGACCAAGCCUAAGUUUCCUGGAAAGGAGCAUCGUAGAGGGUGAAAAUCCCGUACAUGGUUUGGAGCGCCCGGAGCUUUGUGAUACACUUUCUAAGAGUCGAGUUGUUUGGGAAUGCAGCUCAAAAUGGGUGGUAAAUGCCAUCUAAGGCUAAAUAUUGGGGAGAGACCGAUAGCGAACAAGUACAGUGAUGGAAAGAUGAAAAGAACUUUGAAAAGAGAGUUAAACAGUACGUGAAAUUGCCAAAAGGGAAGGGUAGGAGGUCAGAGAUGCGGCCUGGGAUUCAGCCUUGCUUUUGCUUGGUGUAUUUCCCAGAUUGCAGGCCAACGUCGGUUUUGGGCACUGGAGAAUGGUAAGAGGAAUGUGGCACUCUUCGGAGUGUGUUAUAGCCUCUUACUGGAUGCAGCGACCGAGACCGAGGAACGCAGCGUACUCGUAAGAGCGGGCCUUCGGGCACCUUUACGCUUAGGGCGUUGGCAUAAUGGCCCUCUACCACCCGU
Molecule: ribosomal RNA, 605 nt
Filed under: Tranzscheliella sp.
Lineage: Eukaryota; Fungi; Basidiomycota; Ustilaginomycetes; Ustilaginales; Ustilaginaceae
Description: partial large subunit ribosomal RNA
Rfam family: Eukaryotic large subunit ribosomal RNA
Source: RNAcentral